Molecule: ribosomal RNA, 428 nt
Filed under: uncultured bacterium
Lineage: Bacteria
Description: bacterial SSU rRNA
Rfam family: Bacterial small subunit ribosomal RNA
Source: RNAcentral
UGGGGAAUUUUGCGCAAUGGGCGAAAGCCUGACGCAGUAACGCCGCGUGGAGGAUGAAGGCCUUCGGGUCGUAAACUCCUGUCAGGGGGAAAGACAAUACCUGCCUUAAUAAGGUGAGUAUUAGACGGUACCUCCAAAGGAAGCCCCGGCUAAUUCCGUGCCAGCAGCCGCGGUAAUACGGAAGGGGCGAGCGUUGUUCGGAAUCAUUGGGCGUAAAGGGCGCGUAGGCGGUUGUGUUUGUCUACUGUGAAAGGCCACGGCUUACCUGUGGAGGUGCGGUAGAAACGGCACGACUUGAGGCUGGGAGGGGUUGGUGGAAUUCCCUGUGUAGCGGUGAAAUGCGUAGAUACGGGGGAGAACACUCGUGGCGAAGGCGGCCAACUGGCCCAGUCCUGACGCUGAGGCGCGACAGCGUGGGGAGCAAACAG